GCCUCUGUAGCUCAGUUGGUUAGAGCGCUGCACCGGAAUCGCAGGGCCGUAGGUUCAAUUCCUUCCAGAGGAC
This 73-nucleotide transfer RNA is filed under the name Paramuricea clavata. It matches the Rfam family "tRNA". From Rfam's summary of the family: Transfer RNA (tRNA) molecules are approximately 80 nucleotides in length. Their secondary structure includes four short double-helical elements and three loops (D, anti-codon, and T loops). Lineage: Eukaryota; Metazoa; Cnidaria; Anthozoa; Malacalcyonacea; Plexauridae. The record is from Rfam by way of RNAcentral.